ACUCCUACGGGAGGCAGCAGUAAGGAAUAUUGGUCAAUGGACGAAAGUCUGAACCAGCCAUGCCGCGUGGAGGAUGAAGGUCCUCUGGAUUGUAAACUUCUUUUAUCUGGGACGAAAAAAGGUCUUUCUAGAUCGUCUGACGGUACCAGAUGAAUAAGCACCGG
This 164-nucleotide ribosomal RNA is filed under the name uncultured bacterium. RNAcentral describes it as "partial 16S ribosomal RNA". It matches the Rfam family "Bacterial small subunit ribosomal RNA", at positions 335 to 496 of the family's 1533-position model. The record is from RNAcentral.